GGGGCUGUCGGCUAGUUUGGUCUAGGCUACGAGACUCGGACUCUCGUGACUCCGGUUCAAAUCCGGGCAGCCCCACCA
Molecule: transfer RNA, 78 nt
Filed under: Candidatus Bathyarchaeota archaeon
Lineage: Archaea; Thermoproteati; Candidatus Bathyarchaeota
Also listed under: 1 other name
Description: tRNA-Pro
Rfam family: tRNA
About the family: Transfer RNA (tRNA) molecules are approximately 80 nucleotides in length. Their secondary structure includes four short double-helical elements and three loops (D, anti-codon, and T loops). Further hydrogen bonds mediate the characteristic L-shaped molecular structure. tRNAs have two regions of fundamental functional importance: the anti-codon, which is responsible for specific mRNA codon recognition, and the 3' end, to which the tRNAs corresponding amino acid is attached (by aminoacyl-tRNA synthetases). tRNAs cope with the degeneracy of the genetic code in two manners: having more than one tRNA (with a specific anti-codon) for a particular amino acid; and 'wobble' base-pairing, i.e. permitting non-standard base-pairing at the 3rd anti-codon position.
Source: RNAcentral